This 859-nucleotide ribosomal RNA is filed under the name uncultured marine bacterium. RNAcentral describes it as "bacterial SSU rRNA". It matches the Rfam family "Bacterial small subunit ribosomal RNA", at positions 8 to 916 of the family's 1533-position model. The record is from RNAcentral.
AGAGUUUGAUCCUGGCUCAGAACGAACGCUGGCGGCAGGCCUAACACAUGCAAGUCGAGUGCGCCUUCGGGUGAGCGGCGGACGGGUUAGUAACGCGUGGGAACGUGCCCUUCUCUACGGAGUAGCCUCUGGAAACGGUGAGUAAUACCGUAUACGCCCUUUGGGGGAAAGAUUUAUCGGAGAAGGAUCGGCCCGCGUUAGAUUAGGUAGUUGGUGGGGUAAUGGCCUACCAAGCCUACGAUCUAUAGCUGGUUUUAGAGGAUGAUCAGCAACACUGGGACUGAGACACGGCCCAGACUCCUACGGGAGGCAGCAGUGGGGAAUCUUAGACAAUGGGGGCAACCCUGAUCUAGCCAUGCCGCGUGAGUGAUGAAGGCCUUAGGGUCGUAAAGCUCUUUCGCCUGUGAUGAUAAUGACAGUAGCAGGUAAAGAAACCCCGGCUAACUCCGUGCCAGCAGCCGCGGUAAUACGGAGGGGGUUAGCGUUGUUCGGAAUUACUGGGCGUAAAGCGCGCGUAGGCGGAUUAGAAAGUUGGGGGUGAAAUCCCGGGGCUCAACCUCGGAACUGCCUCCAAAACUGCUAGUCUAGAGUUCGAGAGAGGUGAGUGGAAUUCCGAGUGUAGAGGUGAAAUUCGUAGAUAUUCGGAGGAACACCAGUGGCGAAGGCGGCUCACUGGCUCGAUACUGACGCUGAGGUGCGAAAGUGUGGGGAGCAAACAGGAUUAGAUACCCUGGUAGUCCACACCGUAAACGAUGAAUGCCAGUCGUCGGGUAGUAUACUAUUCGGUGACACACCUAACGGAUUAAGCAUUCCGCCUGGGGAGUACGGUCGCAAGAUUAAAACUCAAAGGAAUUGACGG